Molecule: unclassified non-coding RNA, 697 nt
Filed under: uncultured organism
Description: partial contains 16S-23S ribosomal RNA intergenic spacer and 23S ribosomal RNA
Rfam family: tRNA (bases 243-316)
Source: RNAcentral
UAGUGAUUAGUCGUAACAAGGUAGCCGUAUCGGAAGGUGCGGCUGGAUCACCUCCUUUCUAAGGAAAUACCCAACUACGAUGAUAGUUGGAUACUCAGGCAGGUUUUAUUGCUCACUCGUUGUCAGUUUUGAAAGAACAACCGACCCCCAAAAAGUGAAGAAAAGCGUUGCAGCUUAUUCCGAUUACUUUUCGGGGACCCCGGAAACAUUCUUUCUACAGGAAGUCCAAACGGAAUACCCAAGGGCCUUUAGCUCAGCUGGUUAGAGCGCACCCCUGAUAAGGGUGAGGUCGGUGGUUCGAGUCCACUAAGGCCCACCAUUAUCGACAGCAUGGUCGAUCUUCAUUACAUGGGGCCAUAGCUCAAAUGGGAGAGCGCCUGCCUUGCAAGCAGGAGGUCAGCGGUUCGAUCCCGCUUGGCUCCACCAAGCACUUUUCCUUUCGGAAAACGUGCAAUUUUGCACCUUGAAAACUGGAUAACGAAAGAAAAGAAUUGCUGAAACAUCCUUUAGCAACCAUGAUUUAUGCGAGUGAAGGUUGUUCGAGAUUGCAGCGGCUUUUACAGUCUUUAUUUCUACCUUUAAGGGGGUUAUUGUUCAAGAAAUCAAGCUGUAACGGCGAGGCAAGCCGAAUCAACCGGAACGUUAGGUUUUUUAAGUAAGAGCGCACGGAGGAUACCUAGGCACACAGAUUUAAGGG